CUCCUCCAUGAACUAUCUUAACUUUAUAAUAAGGAUAAGGAGAUAGAAGUCAUUAAAAAGAAGAGCUUCGUUGUCACCAGCCCGCGGAUGUCCAUUCUGAUUCGGCGGAGAGCGAGACGAUGGGCUUUUUAACAAGUUUUAAUAACUCAGGCUUUUUAGUGAGAAUACUCACUCUGAUGCCUGGACACCUCCUGUCUUCAGCGUUACAGGCUUCUCAGAGAUCAAGGCGCCUUUCACAGACUUGACUGUUUCCUGGUGAGAUGAAAGAGGGCCCACCAGGGGCCGGCUGUGCCAGCCUCAUGUCCGAGACAAGACGCGCCUUUCAUCACGGGAGACAGGACACCAGCCGGGAUGGGAAUCGGCUAGAAAGUUUGAGAGGAAGAUUAGAUUUUGGAAGAGAAAGAUUAAUAACUUUCUUUUGCGGAGACAAGCGUGCGUUUGGGCCUGCAUGUGGGAUUCGGGCUACUCGGGAGCACGGCACCGAGGAGAGCGGCUUGUCUCCGCGUGCUCCGCGGGGAUGAUGCUUGGCAGACCCCUCUGGCCGUUUAGAGAGACAACCUGAAGUCCCUGUCCUCCUGAGCUGGUCUACUGCUGGGAAGCAGGUGUGGGGGCAGCAGGCCCCCCACCCGGACUCAGCCUGGUCUUGAUACAAACAGCCACAGACUUCACUGCGACACGUACCUUCUCCUUACCCAGAUCCCUAACA
Molecule: long non-coding RNA, 706 nt
Organism: Enhydra lutris kenyoni (northern sea otter)
Lineage: Eukaryota; Metazoa; Chordata; Mammalia; Carnivora; Mustelidae
Exons: 3
Source: RefSeq, a predicted model, not a curated record